GAUGAACGCUGGCGGCGUGCCUAAUACAUGCAAGUCGAGCGAACGGACGAGAAGCUUGCUUCUCUGCUGUUAGCGGCGGACGGGUGAGUAACACGUGGAUAACCUACCUAUAAGACUGGGAUAACUUCGGGAAACCGGAGCUAAUACCGGAUAAUAUUUUGAACCGCAUGGUUCAAAAGUGAAAGACGGUCUUGCUGUCACUUAUAGAUGGAUCCGCGCUGCAUUAGCUAGUUGGUAAGGUAACGGCUUACCAAGGCAACGAUGCAUAGCCGACCUGAGAGGGUGAUCGGCCACACUGGAACUGAGACACGGUCCAGACUCCUACGGGAGGCAGCAGUAGGGAAUCUUCCGCAAUGGGCGAAAGCCUGACGGAGCAACGCCGCGUGAGUGAUGAAGGUCUUCGGAUCGUAAAACUCUGUUAUUAGGGAAGAACAUAUGUGUAAGUAACUGUGCACAUCUUGACGGUACCUAAUCAGAAAGCCCCGGCUAACUACGUG
RNAcentral lists this ribosomal RNA (497 nucleotides) under uncultured bacterium. Its description in RNAcentral is "partial 16S ribosomal RNA". It matches the Rfam family "Bacterial small subunit ribosomal RNA", at positions 28 to 507 of the family's 1533-position model. The record is from RNAcentral.